GUUCAUAUCUUCUGUCCAUUUCUUGAUGGAUUAUUUGUUUUUUGGAUGAGUUUAAUAAGUUCUUAUUUGAGUUUAAUAAGUUCUUUACAGGGAUCCCUGGGUGGCGCAGCGGUUUGGCGCCUGCCUUUGGCCCAGGGCGCGAUCCUGGAGACCCGGGAUCGAAUCCCACGUCGGGCUCCCGGUGCAUGGAGCCUGCUUCUCCCUCUGCCUAUGUCUCUGCCUCUCUCUCUCUCUCUCUGUGACUAUCAUAAAUAAAUAAAAUUUAAAAAAAAUAAGUUCUUUACAGAUUUUGGAUACUAAUCCUUUAUCUAUUAAGACUUUUCGAGUAUUUUCUCCCAUUCUGUUCAUUGUCUUUUAGUUUUCUCGAAUGUUUCCUUUACUGUGCAAAAGCCUUUUAUUUUGAUGAAGUCCCAGUAGUUCAUUUUUGCUUUUGUUUCCUUUGCCUUUGGAGAUAUGUCUAACAAGAAGUUGCUGCAGUCGAGAUUGAAGAGAUUGCUCCCUGUGUUCUUCUCUAGGAUUUUGAUGGAUUCCUGUCUCACAUUUAGAACACUAGAAUUUUAAAAAUUUAUAAUGGAAUGAAAGGAAAAUAAACAUUUAUAGCAUAAAAUGGAAACCAGCUUGAAGAGCUACGAAUAAAUGUAAGCUAACUAAAUGAAAUCUAGUUUAAUAUACUUUACAAUGUUUCAUCAAAGUAUUAUUUCAGCUGACUGGUAAUAAUCAGUUAAAUUAAUCUUAAUGAUCUGUCACUUCACAUAAGCAUACAUGAGCAUAAUGAGCAUAGGGUAUGAUGCUUUUUUACAUUGUUUAUCUUUCUAUGUUGUGUCCAGAGAACACCAAGUUUUUGCCAUCUAAUUAUUAAAAUUAAGCUGGAAAUAUGAUUAACAAGAUGCCCAAUGAAUGAUGGAAAUGUUCUAUAUCUUGAAAGAAGUGUGGGUUACAUGGAUGGAUCCAUUUGUAAAAAUGGUACAGUUAAGAUUGGUGCAUUUCAAUUUGGGUAGACACUACCUUAAGAAAAGAACUAUACAAAAACAAACAUUUAGUGGGAGGUGGAGAGUGGAAGGGAAGGUGUAGAUGAAACAAGACAAGAUGUUGUAAAGCUGGGUGAUAUGUACAUUGAAGUUAUGCUGUAUGCUCUCUGUGUUGAACUUUUUCCACCAAUGUUAAAGUUAUUACUUGUGAUUUAAGUUUGUAAAUGUCAAUUCAAUUCUACUCUAGCAAAGCAAAGGAAAGCAAAAGAGAAUAAAACAGAAGCAUUCUCUUGAAAGAAUCUAAAGUAAUCCAUUUCCAUAAAAAGGCAAUUUCUUCACAUACCAACUGAUGUCCUUGUAUUAUACAUUAAGAUUUUCUUCCUCUCUGUCAUAACAAGCAAUGUUCUCAAAGACAUUUCAGUGAUCUAAAUUGAGUUUUACAGAUACUGUACUGCUAGUAAAAUUUGCUUUAAAAUGAAAAAUAAUCCAGUAAGGUACAUGUGAAGAUGCCUGGAGACACUGUGGACAAAGAGCAUGCACAAAUGACUACACAGAUGCCAGGGAUGCCAUUAAACUGGAAUCGGAAUGCCCACUGAAGGAAAGAAGCACUUAAGAUUGAGUUGGAAAUGACUUUAUUCCAAAGAAGAAACUAAACCCAUCUAAUAUGUUUAUGAUUGUUGGUUUUACUUCAUUAGUUUGUUAUUCAUAUUCCCAAGGAAGUCUAUUCUCAGUAACAUUUAUCAAGUGAACCAUGGAGGCUGAUCACAGUAAUCUUACUUUUAUCCUUCGGGGUAGAUAGAGAUGCUUUUUAACUAUAAAAUUAUUUAAUCUGUUCAGAGUUUAGGCUUUAUUUAGCUUUACUGAUUUUACCUAGAGUUGAAACAUCUUGAAAAAUAUCCUCAUUUUUAAUCUUCCAUCAUUUUGGCUCUUACCUGAUGUGAACUUUGGUUGAACUCAGUUGAUUUCCCAUCUCAAUAAAUAUGAAAUCAAUC
RNAcentral lists this long non-coding RNA (1960 nucleotides) under Canis lupus familiaris (dog). RNAcentral describes it as "lncRNA (ENSCAFG00845002929.1)". Lineage: Eukaryota; Metazoa; Chordata; Mammalia; Carnivora; Canidae. The record is from RNAcentral.